This 385-nucleotide long non-coding RNA is filed under the name Capsicum annuum. RNAcentral's name for it is "long non-coding RNA (CANN_LNC016914)". Lineage: Eukaryota; Viridiplantae; Streptophyta; Magnoliopsida; Solanales; Solanaceae. The record is from RNAcentral.
GGAUAAGUGUAGCAUAUCCAUGGCUGAUGACUCGAGAUUCCUGGAAGGAUGAGGAUCACUUUCUCCAAAUCCUGGAAGAUCAUAUGUUACCAAGCGAAUACCAUAUUCUUGCAGUAGCGAAGUCUUAAUGCCAGGUAUUCCUGCUUGUUUUGUGAAGACAAAACACACAUAAUUAUAGCUUAUUCAAAAGCUUGAAUAAAAGACUAGCAGAAUGAACCACUUUGAUCUAUGUUUAUUCUAGGAGAAAACAAAGAACAGGAAGACGGGAAGUAUCGCAGGGGUGACCAUACAUAUUGUUGUUUGGAAAGGUCUAAGGGUUAAAAUUUAGUACAAUACCUGCAAGACGGGACGAGAGAAAAGAAUGUGGAGCAAUCAUAGAUANNNN